RNAcentral lists this unclassified non-coding RNA (348 nucleotides) under soil metagenome. RNAcentral describes it as "partial contains 5.8S ribosomal RNA, internal transcribed spacer 2, and large subunit ribosomal RNA". The stretch from base 1 to 120 matches the Rfam family "5.8S ribosomal RNA", at positions 35 to 154 of the family's 154-position model. The record is from RNAcentral.
GAUGAAGAACGCAGCGAAAUGCGAUAAGUAAUGUGAAUUGCAGAAUUCAGUGAAUCAUCGAGUCUUUGAACGCACAUUGCGCCCCCUGGUAUUCCGGGGGGCAUGCCUGUCCGAGCGUCAUUGCUGCCCUCAAGCACGGCUUGUGUGUUGGGCCCCCGCCCCCCGGCUUCGGGGGGCGGGCCCGAAAGGCAGCGGCGGCACCGCGUCCGGUCCUCGAGCGUAUGGGGCUUCGUCACCCGCUCUGUAGGCCCGGCCGGCGCCCGCCGGCGACCCCAAUCAAUCUUUCCAGGUUGACCUCGGGUCAGGUAGGGAUACCCGCUGAACUUAAGCAUAUCAAUAAGCGGAGGA